This 463-nucleotide ribosomal RNA is filed under the name Sanguirana luzonensis (Luzon frog). RNAcentral describes it as "partial 12S ribosomal RNA". It matches the Rfam family "Bacterial small subunit ribosomal RNA", at positions 868 to 1533 of the family's 1533-position model. The record is from RNAcentral. Lineage: Eukaryota; Metazoa; Chordata; Amphibia; Anura; Ranidae.
AGCGCCAGGGAAUUACGAGCAAUGCUUAAAACCCAAAGGAUUUGACGGUAUCCCAUCCACCUAGAGGAGCCUGUUCUAUAAUCGAUAACCCCCGCUAUACCCAACCACUCCUAGCUUAUCAGCCUGUAUACCUCCGUCGAAAGCCUACCAUGUGAAUGUUCUUAGUAAGCUUAAUGUCCCCGUCAAAACGUCAGGUCAAGGUGCAGCUCAUGGAGUGGAAAGAAAUGGGCUACAAUUUCUAAUCUAGAACACACGAAAAACUAGGUGAAACCCUAGUCAUGAAGGCGGAUUUAGCAGUAAAAAGAAAAUAGAGUGUUCUUUUUAACCUGGCCCUGGGAUGUGUACACACCGCCCGUCACCCUCUUCGACUGUAUUUAACACUGUUUUAUAACUUCCCCCCCACAUUCUAGAAGAGGCAAGUCGUAACAUGGUAAGUGUACUGGAAAGUGCACUUGGUUAACAA